GCCUCGUCUACACUGCACCUGUCAUUCCUCGGCAUUAAGCAUGCGAGGAAAGGAGCCAGAAGAGCGUUAGUGGAAUGGAUGCGGGCAAUGUGCCCAGCAUGUCAGCAGGGUGGCCUCCACUGUGGUCUAGUAGGAUACGACUACUCCUGAGGAAGCGUCACAGCCUCCACUUUGCAGGAAAGGACUGAUCUAUGUAAAAGCCUUGCAGCCUCAGACCCAGAGCAAGCCGUCAUUUAGUUCAGACUCUUGCACACCCCCACCUGUCACAUGUAACAAAACAAGAACAGUACAAAACACCAAGCUUCAGACCCUUUCAGCUGGGCUAUAACUCAUCCGGCUGCGAAGGCUGCAGAGGGAAUUAGUGAACGGCUUCAAGUGUUCCUUUUCAUUUAUAGUGUAGCACUUGGGAGCCGAGAUGGAUGCAGGAUACAGACACAGACAUGGUUGGGAUUUUACUGAUUUUAUUUGUAUGGGUUGAAACUUAUGCUUAUGGUUUUUAACUUUGACUUUUGCUGAACAUAUAUCAGGCAUAACACGUGGAAAAUAACAGGCUUGUACAAUUACUGAGGCAUGCAAGACAGUGAAGGUCUAAUUCUGCCAAGAGAAGCUGGGCUCAGCCCUGAGCUGAUUGUCCUCUGGGUCCCUCUGCUCUGCUGGUGAAAGCUUUGACUUUGACCUUCUGAGCCCUGCAGCACAGAAACCAGUGUGGAUACUGUGGCCUCUGACCUGAGCAGAGUUCAGAUAUACAAGCGAAUAGCAACUGUUCCCUGGGACAAGCUCUCUGGAUAAGCCUUACCUGAAUUCUGAGCCUGAAUUGUUGCUAUAACCAGGGGCUCAUUUUCUGAAGUGCCCCAGUUACCAAUGGAAACCCAUUGAGAAGCUUCAGCAGUCAUGGGAACUGGAUUAUCCCUCAGCAGUGCUCACUUUUCUUCAUGUUGUGACCCACAUAGAAGGGGAUAAAGACAUCCUUCUUCAAGCAGACUUCAUCUGAAUGUAUGCCAGGACACAGGGCUACACACGACUUACACCCUUUCCAGCGAGGACUAUGAAUUGUGAAUUUGUCAAACAUACAAAACUGCAGAGGCUCUGGAAUGUUCUGAGGACUAUCUUCGUAAUAUUUGGUAUGGCAGCUACUAUCCUACUGCUGUUUUCUCUCAGAACUUUGCUGUUUAAAGCUAAACCAUUCCAUCUGUUCUCUCUUACAAAAUGAUGCAGAAACUCUCUCACCUGCCAUAUUCCAACCUCCUCACCCAACCAGAUCCCAUAUACCGUUCACAAGGGUCUAGCCAGAAGAAUCUAAAUGACUGUCCCUUCCACGCAUCUCAGCCACUCCUCAGAUCUAGACAGGUUCCACAUCCAUUUCCUCAUCCACAUCUGGGCACCUUCGCUAUCAUGGCUCUCAACCUCUAGGCUCUGGUCAAGACACAUUCCAUUAAUAUCCAACUUACUGGUCCUUCAUGGACAAUAUAUUUUUCAGUUUCUCAGAUCUUGAACAUCUUGUGCUAAGGUCUAGCAAGAUGAGUCAGCCUGAUUCUCCCUUAAGCACAGCCUCCGUAGUCCCCAGAAUAAUUCCCAAACUCCAAGCUUAGACUAGUUCACACAGCAUGCACUGUCAACUCCCUGUGUACACCUUUAUUCUGCAUAAGUCAUUUCCAAUCUUCAGUCUCUACCCACCCCAUUCAUCCUGUGUUCUACCCUAACCUUUUUUGUUCCUAUUAGACACAGAACUAACAAAGCAAUUCCCAAAUAUCCUGGUCUCAUUGCAAAAAUAUAAACAAUAUGAAAUAUCAAGGUAGUACCCAUGCCCCCAAAUUCACCAGUCCUGUAGAAAUGUUCACUAGUGAUAAUUACCUAGACAAAUCCAAGGGCACAGAAUUUAAAAGAACAAUUAUAAAAGUCAUCAAAGAAUUCAAGGACUUUAAAUAAAACACAAAGAAAUAUCUAAA
Long non-coding RNA from Mus musculus (house mouse), 1946 nucleotides. RefSeq annotates it as predicted gene, 41734. NCBI's taxonomy places the organism in Eukaryota, Metazoa, Chordata, Mammalia, Rodentia, Muridae. The transcript has 3 exons. The record is from RefSeq and is a predicted model, not a curated record.